Molecule: ribosomal RNA, 439 nt
Filed under: uncultured bacterium
Lineage: Bacteria
Description: partial 16S ribosomal RNA
Rfam family: Bacterial small subunit ribosomal RNA
Source: RNAcentral
CCUACGGGAGGCAGCAGUGGGGGAUAUUGCACAAUGGGGGAAACCCUGAUGCAGCGACGCCGCGUGAAUGAAGACGGCCUUCGGGUUGUAAAGCUCUGUCGCCGGGGACGGAAAUGACGGUACCCGGCAAGAAAGCGGCGGCUAACCAAGUGGCAGCAGCCACGGUAAUACGGAGGGAGCAAGCGUUGUCCGGAAUUAAUGGGUGUAAAGGGAGCGUAGGCGGGAGGAUAAGUUUAAUGUGAAAUCUAUGGGCUCAACCCAUAGCCGCUUUCAAAACUGUUCUGCUUGAGUGAAGUAGAGGCAGGCGGAAUUCCUAGUGUAGCGGUGAAAUGCGUAGAUAUUAGGAGGAACACCAGUGGCGAAGGCGGCCUGCUGGGCUUUUACUGACGCUGAGGCUCGAAAGCGUGGGGAGCAAACAGGAUUAGAUACCCCUGUAGUC